GAGAAGAGAGUCGCUAUUCAUUGUGCAGAAUGAGGGUCGCUUAUUCCAUAACACGAUAAGUAGUACCACUGGCACUGCAUAGCUAGUUCUAUCGCCAGUACAUAAGCUCAGCUCAGCAAGCUCACUUGAGCGUUAUGUGCUAGGAGAUAGGACGAUUAGAUGAUCUGAGACGAAUGAAGUAUUUCUGUUCUUUCUAGCAAUAUCACCUGUGCACUGUGCAAAUUGGACUUGUGUUGCAUCUUUACUUUGAGCGUUUCAUGACAUGAUGGCCGCGGACGGUGACUUGGAUGCUUUGGCACUUGACGCUCCUUCUGUAACGGCCGCAGACAGGCGAGGUGAAAAGUUUUGACCUACGGAGGCUACAGAUACACCCGGAGCAACAGUUCCAAGACUCGGCUCUAUUGGCGAUGUGCAAGACGGAACUGUGGUGAAACGAUCAUAACGAACCGCUUCGACGUUAAGCAUGAAAAUCCAGAGAUUCAAAUCGAACGAAAACCGAUCGGGGAACACACGCAUGCCCCUGAUGAAGACCAAAUCCUCCGCCGACAAUUUCUUGACGAAGCAACUGCAUUAGUCAAGGAUGAUCCAAGUCAUACGAUAAGGAGGGCAUACAACAUUGUUUUGGAUAGAGGACACCACCAUCGGCCAGGUGUACCAACAUUUCCAGAAAUCAGAAGCCAGCUGCAACGAAUCCGUUUGGCAUGUGUGAAAAGGACAGUACAGCUUCAGUGAAACAGCAUUUCUUCAGUGAAACAGCAUUUCUUAUUGAAAAGUUUAAUCCAUCAUUAAAAACUAACGAAUUAUGCUUGUAUAGUGGUGAAACCUAUGAACGGUUUAAGUUACAGACUUACAGUUCUCUAUUGAAAACGUUACACUUACAACACAUGUAUGCGCUCUGGAGACUUUUUGUAUUAAUCAAACACUAUAACAUGUUUGGUAUAAAUAAUCAUUUGAUAGAGAGAUCAUGUUUGUAUCAUCUAUGUAUGUAUUCAAAAGUAUUUUUCAUGCAUAUUUAUUACGAGGAUAAGUUAAUCCUACCCUUGUUGCUUGUCAUACCAAGUUGUUGUACUGUUAGGACUUAGAGCCAGGUCAGAUUUAAGUCAGGCAGUUGAAAAAGCAAAAAGUAUGUUGGUAUUAUGUAACUGUGUAGUAUGUAGAUAUGCAUUUAAAACAAUGCUGGACAUCUUUUCAGUUUUUCAGGAAUAUGUUAUCGUUGAGUGUUUAUUUUUCUAUUGUUAUGGAACGGUUUAAAUGAAAUUAGGCACACAUGGUGAACUUGAGAUUUCAUUGUGUAAAAUAUGUUUUCCAACUUACUGUUGACUUGCUGUUUGCAUGAUAACCGCCUAAUGUUGCAGAGCAGUCUCAUAUUUCUACUGGUUUGAAUUGCUCUUGGUCCUUGGUAACACAGCGGUAGAGAUAUACAGAGAAAUAGUCUUCUAUUUUUAGAAUAAGCGAUUCGUAUACUUAAUAUAGUAAAUUCCUUUUCAGAGGGAUGAUGGGAUGAAGUAACUGUUAAGCAUUCAUUUCCAUUGCUAUAUGAUCAUACCCCAAAGGUAUUGUUGUAAUUUAUAGACAUAAUAUUUAUGUAAACCAAUAGUCUGUAUUGUGUCUCGCUUUGAGGAAGAUAUGAGAGGUAAUCCGCUUCGAAUAGAAAAAAUAUAAAGGUGUGCUUUUAGGUAAAAAAUUAAAUACCACUUUCAUAAUAAUGACAUAGCAUAGACAUGUGCCUUGAUUUUACUGUCUGAAGUUGAAGUUUUGUGUUUUUAAAAUUGAUCAGCUUAACAUUUUGCAGGACAUAAUAAUGUAAAGCGAAAUCAAUGAUCUUCUUAAUGCUUUUUUUCAUAUAAAUUUGUUUUAUAUAAAA
RNAcentral lists this long non-coding RNA (1864 nucleotides) under Strongylocentrotus purpuratus (purple sea urchin). RNAcentral describes it as "uncharacterized LOC752174". Lineage: Eukaryota; Metazoa; Echinodermata; Echinoidea; Camarodonta; Strongylocentrotidae. The record is from RNAcentral.